GCCCGUUUGGCGCAAUGGUAGCGCGUCGCCCUCCUAAGAUGCAAAGGAUUUACUCUCUGGAGUAGUAUCUGGAGCGGGUUAUCACAGGCGAAGGCUGCGGGUUCGAUCCCCGUGAUGGGUG
Molecule: non-coding RNA, 121 nt
Organism: Tirmania nivea
Lineage: Eukaryota; Fungi; Ascomycota; Pezizomycetes; Pezizales; Pezizaceae
Source: the annotation of a GenBank genome assembly